RNAcentral lists this transfer RNA (52 nucleotides) under Trichonephila clavipes. Its description in RNAcentral is "tRNA-Leu". The record is from RNAcentral. Lineage: Eukaryota; Metazoa; Arthropoda; Arachnida; Araneae; Nephilidae.
AUUUAUAUUUGGCAGAAAAUUGCAUUAGAUUUAGAUUCUAAUUAUACUAAUU